RNAcentral lists this ribosomal RNA (253 nucleotides) under uncultured bacterium. RNAcentral describes it as "partial 16S ribosomal RNA". It matches the Rfam family "Bacterial small subunit ribosomal RNA", at positions 524 to 776 of the family's 1533-position model. The record is from RNAcentral.
UACGUAGGGGGUAAGCGUUGUCCGGAAUCAUUGGGCGGAAAGAGCGUGUAGGCGGUCCGGUAAGUCGGCUGGGAAAUCCCGGGGCUCAACCCCGGGACUGCAUUCGAUACUGUCAGGCUAGAGGUAGGUAGGGGAGAUCGGAAUUCCUGGUGUAGCGGUGAAAUGCGCAGAUAUCAGGAGGAACACCGGUGGCGAAGGCGGAUCUCUGGGCCUUACCUGACGCUCAGGCGCGAAAGCCAGGGGAGCAAACGGG